GUUAGAUUUGGUCUUGGUCUUAGUUUCUUGAUUACAGCGAUGUUGAAACACAUGGUACUUAAUGGGCCCCGGUGAGUUUAAAUAAAAUAGGUGGGGUAGAGUUAAAAACUUUAUGUUAUUUAUUUUUAGUGGCAUAAUUUUAAAGAUAUUACGCCGAAUUUAGUUCACUAGGUAACACCAGUGUUGGAGGUUGGAUAAAUAAAUGUGGGUUUGAUCCAGUAAUUAGCUUUAAAGGUCUGGUAAAGUUUGUGCCAGCCACCGCGGUUAGACAAACAGAUCAAGUCAAGAUUUGACAGUAAAAAAGGGGGUUAAAGAAAUUGAGAGCUUUAGCUAUGGGGCCGCGUACUGUAGGGAAAUUAUGCUUCUUAUAGAGGUGGAAUUUGAGUAAGAAGAAUUUAGUUUAUUAGUCCCUUGUUCUUGACGCCCCGAAAUCUCAUAGUGAGACCGGGAUUAGAUACCCCGUUAUUUGAGAGGUAAAUUUUAAUUAUGAGUUAAUUUACUUGGGUAUUAUGAGGACACAGUAUUACAAAUUACUGUUCGUACCUUAAAACUCAAAAGACUUGGCGGUGUUUUAGGUCCUUCUAGGGGAACCUGUCCUAUAAUUGAUAGUCCACAAAUAACCUUUCCUUUUCUUGAUAUUUCUCAGCCUGUAUACCGUCGUCGCCAGAUUACCUUUAAGAGAAAUGAAGUUGUCGGCAGGAGGUUUUAUAACAGAAGUUUUUAUUUUGCGUAAUUUUCUUGACGUCAGAUCAAGGUGCAGCUUAUGAAAAGGAAGAGAUGGGUUACAAUAAUGAAUUAUUAUACGAAUUUUUUCCUGCAACUUAGGAGAUAUUGAAGGCGGACUUAGAAGUAAUUUUUAGUAAAGGAGCAGAAAGCCUUGGUGAAAAUUGGCACUAAAACGUGCACAUAUCGCCCGUCGCUCUCGUUGAAAAAUGAGAUAAGUCGUAACAUAGUGAGGGUACCGGAAGGUGCUCUUAGUGAAUA
Molecule: non-coding RNA, 984 nt
Filed under: Rochia nilotica
Lineage: Eukaryota; Metazoa; Mollusca; Gastropoda; Trochida; Tegulidae
Description: 12S ribosomal RNA
Rfam family: Bacterial small subunit ribosomal RNA
Source: RNAcentral